This 2824-nucleotide long non-coding RNA is filed under the name Macaca mulatta (Rhesus monkey). RNAcentral describes it as "lncRNA (ENSMMUG00000054934.1)". Lineage: Eukaryota; Metazoa; Chordata; Mammalia; Primates; Cercopithecidae. The record is from RNAcentral.
GUGCAGAGGUUUCUGCUGCUUUUUGUUGUUGUUGUUGUUGUUGUUGUUGUUGUUUAGCUGUGCCCUGUCCCCAGAGGUGGAGUCUACAGAGACUGGCAGGCCUCCUUGAACUGCUGUGAGCUCCACCCUCCCAGGGCUUUGUUUACCUACUUAAGCCUCAGCAAUGGCGGGCGCCCCUCCCCCAGCCUUGCUGCUGCUUUGCGAUUAGAUCGCAGACUGCUGUGCUAGCAAUGAGGAAGGCUCCGUGGGCGUGGGACCCUCCCAGCCAGGUGUGGGAUAUAAUCUCCUGGUGUGCCCCUUUGCUUAAAGCGCAGUAUUGGGGUGGGAGUUACCCGAUUUUCCAGGUGUUGUGUGUCUCAGUUCCCCUGGCUAGGAAAAGGGAUUCCCUUCCCCCUUCUGCUUCCCAGCUGAGGCGAUGACUCGCCCUGCUUCAGCUCUGGCUGGUCGGGCUGCAACAGCUGACCAGCCCCGAUUGUCCGGCACUCCCCAGUGAGAUGAACCCAAUACCUCAGUUGAUAAUGCAGAAAUCACCUGUCUUCUGUGUCGCUCGCGCUGGGAGCUGGAGACUGGAGCUGUUCCUAUUCGGCCAUCUUGCUCCGCCCCUGGGCUUUGCCUUUCUCUGAUGACUCCCUGAUUAGCUUGAUAACUAACCUCCUGAAUUCUUUUUCAGGUAAAUCAGGUACAUUUUUGGUUUGGAUCCAUUGCUGAUGAGCUAGUGUGAUUUUGGGGGGAUAUUAAAGAGUCAUAUUAGCAGAGAUGUUUUGCCAUAUUACCAGAGUUGUUUUUCUGGUUCCUCCUUAUUUGGGUAGGCUUUGUCAGAGGGAAAGUCUAGAACUGAAGGCUGUUCAGAUUCUUUUGUCCCAUGAGGUAUUCCCUUAAUGUAGUACUCUUCCCCUUUUCCUGUGGAUGUGGCUUCCUGUGAGCUGAGCUGCAGUGAUUGUUAUCUCUCUUCCAGGUCUAGCCAUGCAGCAAGUCUACCCAGCUCCAGGCUGGUACUUGGGGUUGUCUUCACAGAGUCCUGCAAUGUGAACUGUCAAUAGAUCUCUCAGACAUGGAUGCCAGCACAUUAUUUGGAUGUCUCCUGGGUCCUGCAGGAGCAGUCUAUUUUCUUCAGAGGUUCUAUGGGUCCUCUCUGGAUUUCUGGUUUGUUCUUACAGUCAUUCUGGAGCUAAAAUUCACUGUGAGAGCCUCUGCAUGCUGCUCUGAGUCGGAACUGCAAUCUAGUCCUACCGUCUCAUCUGCCAUCUAUUUUCACUGCAAUUAUUUGAGAUGAAAUUUUAUCAUGAGAGAAUCUUUGGACUUUGAGCCUUGGCAGAGUUGGACUGCUACAGAAACCACCACAGUCUGGCAUGAAUUAAGUCCCACUGCAGAGGUGAACUGGAGCCAAGAUUUCAACCUCCAAAUGAUUACUGCUGGGGGAAAAAGGCUCUGGGCCAUGCUGACAAUGAAUAUCAGCUGCUCUGGGUAACUGGGACUGUUUCUACUCCUCUCCCCACAGCCAAAAAAGCCAAAUUGUGGUUCUUAUAGUACUGACUGGAUUAUUUGUGUUACAUUGCUUCCCCACUGUCUUCACAUCAUAGAACAUGUAGAAAAAAAUUACUGCAUUUGUAGGGCACCCACAGUAAACCCAGGAGGCAACUUAUAGGCAGAAUUCACCUAGCUCUAGUUGAAUCAUGUCCCAGUUCCUCUCAAGGGCUGAAGGUAUGUCUUAGUACAUAGAAUUCAUUCCAGGUAAUGGAAUUUGUAAUUUGUAAAUAUUUGCUACUUAUCACACGGUCUGUAGACCAACUUUAUUGUAGCAGCACAUCAUCUGGGGCAUUUUAGAAAAGCUGACACUCAGGCCCCACGUGAGACCUAUCUGUGCUGCCCAGGCUGGAGUGCAGUGGCUGUUUAUAGGCAUGAUCAUAGUGUAAUAAAGCCUUGAACUCCUGGGCUCAAGCGCUUCUCCUGCCUCAGCCUCCUGAGUAGCUGGGACUACAGGUGCAAGCCACUGUGCCAAGCUAGCAUCUAUAUUUUAACAAGUCCCCAAAUGAGUCGUAUGUACAUUAAAAUUUAAGAAGUGUUGGUCUACAGGGUAAUGUCUGCCUCCGUGGCAUGCUUUAAAAGACCCUUGGAGAUCUAUGCCCUGCCUACUCUUCCAGCCUCAUCUUUGGUAACUGCCUCUCUCCAACCCAAUGAUAGUAAAGUAUCUAACACCUGAAGGCACUGUACUCUCUACCCUACUGCCUUUGCACAGGUGGUUCUUAGCCUAGAAUUAAUUCUCUUUACCUGCCCUUUUGAACUCUUACUUAUCAUUCAACUCUCAAUUUAAAAGUCAAGCUUCACCUGCCCCAGGAGAUCUAGGCAGAAGGAGCGGGCAGCCCAUUAUAAAGCCUGCCUUCCUCUUGCUUCCUAGUUCUGACUGUGUGCCUUUAUUACAAUACUUACCACAUUGUACCGUAAUUCUGUUUGUUCUCUAUUUUCCCAAGCAGUCUGUGAGCUCUUGGUGUCAGUAUCUUUGAUUUACUCAUUUUUUAAUUUCUAGGAGGUAAACACAGUACAUGGUAGAUACGCAAUUCAUGCUUCUUGGAGAAAUCAGAUAAUCUUGUUGGCCAUUUCUGCUGGAAAAUUACUUCCUCUUAAAAACAAUAAUGUAUAAAAUAUUUAUAAGUCAUUUCAAAAUAAUUCUGUUUGUACUCCUCUGAUUUGUGGCCAGUUUCACAAAAUGCAGAAGAGCAUAUAAAUCCAUUUCUUAUCACUCAGUCCAGAUAUAAAAUCAAGGUCCAUCUUUUCAAGAUUUAAUGUAAUUUAAUGGUCAUUUAUAUAAUAAAGUGAUAGCAAUGAG